CCUACGGGUGGCAGCAGUGGGGAAUAUUGGACAAUGGGGGCAACCCUGAUCCAGCCAUGCCGCGUGUGUGAAGAAGGCCCUCGGGUUGUAAAGCACUUUCAGUGAGGAAGAACGCCUGGUGGUUAAUACCCAUCAGGAAAGACAUCACUCACAGAAGAGGCACCGGCUAACUCCGUGCCAGCAGCCGCGGUAAUACGGAGGGUGCGAGCGUUAAUCGGAAUUACUGGGCGUAAAGCGCGCGUAGGUGGCUUGAUAAGCCGGUUGUGAAAGCCCCGGGCUCAACCUGGGAACGGCAUCCGGAACUGUCAAGCUAGAGUGCAGGAGAGGAAGGUAGAAUUCCCGGUGUAGCGGUGAAAUGCGUAGAGAUCGGGAGGAAUACCAGUGGCGAAGGCGGCCUUCUGGACUGACACUGACACUGAGGUGCGAAAGCGUGGGUAGCAAACAGGAUUAGAUACCCCAGUAGUC
RNAcentral lists this ribosomal RNA (465 nucleotides) under Vreelandella stevensii. RNAcentral's name for it is "partial 16S ribosomal RNA". It matches the Rfam family "Bacterial small subunit ribosomal RNA", at positions 338 to 795 of the family's 1533-position model. Lineage: Bacteria; Pseudomonadati; Pseudomonadota; Gammaproteobacteria; Oceanospirillales; Halomonadaceae. The record is from RNAcentral.